UACGAAGGGGGCUAGCGUUGCUCGGAAUUACUGGGCGUAAAGCGCACGUAGGCGGGUCGCUAAGUCGGGGGUGAAAUCCUGGAGCUCAACUCCAGAACUGCCUCCGAAACUGACGAUCUUGAGUUCGGGAGAGGUGAGUGGAACUGCGAGUGUAGAGGUGAAAUUCGUAGAUAUUCGCAAGAACACCAGUGGCGAAGGCGGCUCACUGGCCCGAUACUGACGCUGAGGUGCGAAAGCGUGGGGAGCAAACAGG
RNAcentral lists this ribosomal RNA (253 nucleotides) under uncultured bacterium. Its description in RNAcentral is "partial 16S ribosomal RNA". It matches the Rfam family "Bacterial small subunit ribosomal RNA", at positions 524 to 776 of the family's 1533-position model. The record is from RNAcentral.